AUACGGGGGGGGCAAGCGUUGUUCGGAAUUACUGGGCGUAAAGGGCGCGCAGGCGGCCCGGCAAGUCCUACGUGAAAUCCCACAGCUCAACUGUGGAACUGCGUGGGAAACUGCCAGGCUUGAGUCCGGGGGAGGAGAGUGGAAUUCCCAGUGUAGCGGUGAAAUGCGUAGAUAUUGGGAGGAACACCGGUGGCGAAGGCGGCUCUCUGGACCGGUACUGACGCUGAGGCGCGAAAGCUAGGGGAGCAAACGGGAUUAGAAACCCCGGUAGUCC
RNAcentral lists this ribosomal RNA (274 nucleotides) under uncultured bacterium. RNAcentral's name for it is "partial 16S ribosomal RNA". It matches the Rfam family "Bacterial small subunit ribosomal RNA", at positions 523 to 796 of the family's 1533-position model. The record is from RNAcentral.